AGUGUAGAGGGUGGGCCUGGGUUCUCCCCAUUCUCCCAACUCCUGAUCGGACACAGGAGGAGUUGACCUGGUCUGUGAGAAACAUCAGAAGGGAAGGUCUAAAUGGGAAAGGGAUCUGGCCUGUUCCUGACCCACUAGAUAGGACACAGAGACUGCGGGGAUUAUACUCCGUUUCCCCCACGCUGGCCAGUGAUGAGGUUAGCUGAGUGGACAGCAGGUUGGAGCCACUAGCAAAAGUGGCCAAACUGAGAGCUGAUGUGAAUCUCUGAGUCUUUCUGGUUAGAAGGAACUGAAGAGAGUCGGGGAGAGGAGGGGGCAGCACCAGUCUUUAUACCAUCACACAGCAGCAAGUGUCAGCGGAGGACACAUAUGCCAUCCCUGCUGAUGGAAAAAUCUCUGACAACAGUGCCCUGGGCCUGCAGAUGUUUCUCAAGUGGAAAGGCUUGUCCAGCUGCAAACUCUCAUCUGCUUUCCCUGAGGACCUCUCCACUAAGACUCUCUUUACAAACUGGUCCCUGGAAAAGCUAGAUCUGAGUGCUAACACACCGGGAGACUCAGGACUGAAUCAUCUGUGUGAGGGACUGAAACAUCCACACUGUAACCUGCAGACAUUGCUGUUGUGGCACUGCCAUCUCACAACUGCUUGUUGUGGGGAUCUCUCUACUGCACUCAAUACAAACCAGUCUCUGACUGAGCUGGAGCUGAGUGGGAAUGAACUGAGAUUCAGGAAUUAAACUUCUGUGUGAGGACUGAAACAUCCCAGCUGUAAACUGCAGAAAUUAGUUUUGUCAGUAAUCCACAUAGAUGAAAUAACAACUAAAGAACUGGAAGUUUUGCAGAAGAUAAAACCUUGUUUGUAAUUGUGCAUAACGCAGCAUCCAGCCAUCAGAACCCAGGUACAAGGACAAGGAGGAUGGAAUGUCUUCUAUCUCAGUGUCAUACAUUCAACUUUAGACUAACGUCUCGGAGUUCAGAAAUGAUGUGGAAUAUUUUUGUGAUGCACUGUCGGGAGGUUGUCUGUACAGCAGCCCCGCAAGAGGACAGGGCUGGGGACGGAGCUGGGGUGGUACAGUUGCGCUGGAGGAGCUGCUGUCGUGGGCUUCUGCACUUUUUGCCACUGUGGUUCCUGGGCUGCCACACACUGGCAGCUGCUCCACUGCGGCUGUCCAGACCCCAGACAGGAGAUGCAGGCACACAGCGGUGUGGUAGGGCUGGGGGCGGUACAGCCGUGCUGGAGGAGUGCCAGCAUGGGCAGCUCCUUCUGUGUCUUUCCAGUAUGCCGUACUCGCUAUAAAUAGGUAUACCAUGUACCAGUAACCUGACUGGACUACUCUACUUGCACCACUGAAAGCAGGCUUAUAUGUGUGGCAGGAUGGGAGUGUGACAUCCCCCCAGGGCACAAUCUGGAACUGUGGGACCACUGAGUCCCCUUAAACUCUUUAACCUGCUCUAUUUCUUGUCAUGCUGUGCUAGUGAUAACCCGCAAACUCCUCCAGGUGCUGUAAUCACUCAGCCAUCAACACGUGGAUGUCAACACCCAGCUGAGUUGCAUGAAUUUUCUCUAAGCCACUGAUGAAUUAUACAUAGAGAGACCCCAGCCAGUCUAUCCAGCCCUCCCAGCCUUGCAUCCCAGUGAUAUACCAUCUUAUACUGCUCAAGACCUUCUCUUGGACAGUGCAAACACAUUAAUUAGUUCACCACUUCAUUAAAGGAAAGUGGAUAUGUAUCAGCCUUUGUAAUCUUAGCAGAUUCCCCAAGCACUUUAGACAGACUCAUUGAUAAGGUUAAAACAUUAAAAAAAAGUUUAUUAAAAUCUUUCUUUCUGUAGUUAAGUGUUUAUAAGUGUUAGACACAGAGGUCAAAGUUGGUUACAUAAGAAAUAAAAAUACUCACAGUCUAAAUUCUAAACUUUACCAAACUAAACUAAAUCAAACAGCUUUUCUCACCUCACUGGCUGUUCCUGGCAGUUUACAGUUCUUAAUACACAGGCUGAAUUCCCUUCUCAGCCUGGGACCAAUCUCCCCAGUUCAAAGUCUUUGUCUUCCAACCAAUCU
Molecule: long non-coding RNA, 2054 nt
Organism: Mauremys reevesii (Reeves's turtle)
Lineage: Eukaryota; Metazoa; Chordata; Testudines; Geoemydidae
Exons: 5
Source: RefSeq, a predicted model, not a curated record